Non-coding RNA from Lepisosteus oculatus (spotted gar), 794 nucleotides. NCBI's taxonomy places the organism in Eukaryota, Metazoa, Chordata, Actinopteri, Semionotiformes, Lepisosteidae. The record is from RefSeq and is a predicted model, not a curated record.
UGAAGGGGAGCCCAGGGGUGUCAGAACCCCCAGACAAGGUGAGGAAGGGGGAGAGAGAGCCUGUGGACAACACGCCUGUGUCUGUGACUGUGACUGUCGGAGCAGUUGGGACCCGGUGGAGCACAGACUGCCCUCAGGCAUGUUUAUUCCCACCAGACGCAGCUCCUGCAGGAGGAACUUGGCCCUGGAAAGGCAGGGAGAGGUCAGGGAGGCUGUGGGACAGGUGGGGAGGGACUGGGAAUGUGGUAGCUGCCCGCUGUGUUAGGCAACGGGAUCAGGCAGCCAGGGGUGAAGUGGGGCAACACUGUACCAGGCUGGAGAGGGCGCCCCCAGAUGUGCAGUUAGAGGACAAGGGGACGGGGGACCCCCCCCCAUCAGCCAGGCAGGUAAGUGCAGAACAGGUGAGUCUCUCCUUCACUGGAUUUCCCUCGCAGGUGAUGCUGUGUCCCUCGGUUCUGACAGUCCUGUCUGCUUCAGGGUCUUCCUCCUGAUCUCCAUGACCGCAGCGCAGGUCUUCCCAGUGGCUGUGUGCUGUCAGCUCUUCCCGCGGUCGUCACUGGGAGGAGACCCUCCCUGGAGUUAGAGGAUCGCUGGUGUCACCUGGGGCCACUGUGAUCUGCAGAGAGCUGCCCUUCUCCUCUACACUCUACAGAGCGGGUUACUGAGCCCGGGAGCUGUCCAGGUCUGAGGAUGUCCAGAGAUGAACUAUAGGAAGACUAGUACUGGGAAGACUGGGGAGUUGGAAUGGAAGUGGGAUACUCUCUUGUCCCAUGUUUUCCCAAGAUAUCCAGAGG